This 167-nucleotide unclassified non-coding RNA is filed under the name uncultured Helotiales. RNAcentral's name for it is "sequence contains ITS1". Lineage: Eukaryota; Fungi; Ascomycota; Leotiomycetes; Helotiales. The record is from RNAcentral.
CCGAGUUCAUGCCCUCACGGGUAGAUCUCCCACCCUAUGUUAUAUUACCUUUGUUGCUUUGGCGGGCCGUCAGGCUUCGGUCAGGCUACCGGCCCCGGCUGGUAAGCGCCCGCCAGAGGACCCAAAACUCUGAAUUAUAGUGUUGUCUGAGUACUAUAUAAUAGUUA